Nylanderia fulva is the source of this 1775-nucleotide non-coding RNA. NCBI's taxonomy places the organism in Eukaryota, Metazoa, Arthropoda, Insecta, Hymenoptera, Formicidae. The record is from RefSeq and is a predicted model, not a curated record.
GCUAGUAUAAGCAGCCAAUAGCCAGUUCAUGAGCAAUGCCGUAGUUGCGUCGACUUUAGACUGUUGCGACACCGGGACCCUCUUGUUCAACGCAUGAAAUAAAGAAGACAGUAGUGUUUCGAGUCUGGAUACUCCUAAUGUGCUUGAUGGCUCUAAGGUGUUCAGACCAUUUUCUCGAAAUGCCUCGAUCACGUUCCAUAUGUCGACGUUGUGCACUGUGUAAAAUUAUGCAUCAAUCAUUACAGAGCUUGCAAGCAGUACGAUAUGAUGCAAAUCGAAUGGUAUCAAAGUUCUGCUGUCGCAUCUCUUGUAGAAGCUGCAAACGACUCGUCUCGCCGCUACUUCCGUUUCCGGAACCACCUGCGCCUUCUUCUGCCAUUUUCGCUACGAAAAAUGAACGAAUAAUGUAUUUAUGUAUUAAUUAAUGUAUAUUUUUACGUUGAUUCUUCCUGAAUAUUUCUUCAUUUAUAACAAAUGUUGUUUUGCAACGAACAGUAUAAUCUUGCACUCGAGAUUGAUUACGUUUCUUUCUUAAGGAGUGGUAAAUUUAUGCGUCGUAUAAAGAUAAGUGAGUACGUAAAGCGAAGGCCGAACAACAAAAAAUAAACAGUCAAUUAUCUUGUAUGUUUUUCAAAUGUUCUACAAAAUGCAAAAAAUUUUACGUUACCAUUUUAAAUGAGAUAAACAAACGAGGCGCUAUUUUAUGUACCUCGUGCUAAAAUAACAAUAACCACCGUUCCAUCUGCUAAAAUUAAUCGAAUUUUUUAGCAGCAUUCAUUAUAAACACUACACGGUAGAAGAUCAUAAUAUCAUGUUUUGCUUCCAUCAUUUUCUUUUUGUAACUCCGACCAUUUCAAACGAUAUUUUAUUCUAUUUUAAUUCAAUGGAAUACUCCGUAUAAUAGGUAUAGACUAACAAAGCUGUGUUCUUAAUUCAUCUCGUAAAAUAAAGGACGUUACGCAGUGUCUGGUAAUCGCGAGAAUAGCUCUUCGUCAACUGAAGGCUGAAAGAGGGCUAGAAGAAUAAAUAGAGAACUAAUUAGUAAUGAUUAGAAUGUACAUGCAAUGUAUUCAUCUUAUGAAAGUAACUUUGUUCAAACGUAUGAGUCUACACGUGUAGAAUUGCAAUUAAAAUAUAUAUUUUUUAUUUAUUUAAAAUACGUAAUAUGUAUAUAGAAUGCUUUUUAUCUUAGAUAUUUAUGUUAAUUCUGUACAUAUAUUUACUAAUUAGUUACUAAUUAGUUCUCUCUAUAGUCCAGUUAGGUUGCUAAUUAAUAAACAGUUUUCAUUCUUAAGUAAUGAGAUGAUUUGAUAUUAAAAAUGCAAUAAAUUUUCUUUAUAUACAAUAAAAUUUAAGAAACAGGCAACUAAAAUUUUCUCUUCAAAAAAUAUUUGAAAACUAUAAUAUUAAAAAAUAUUAUUAAUGAACAUAGAUAAUUAUUUCGUUUGAUUAUGUUCAUAGUAUUUUCUUGUCAUAUAAUUUAUUUAAUUUCACUCUUUUCUACUGCAAUUUUUUUCAUUAUAGAUUUUUUUACAUGAAAAUCAUAUUUUCGGAAAAAAGUUAAUUCAAGAUCAUCCAACUGUGACAAUGUAAUCCGCUUUACGUACACGAUUGACCUAGUUAGUAAACGUCGAUAUCCGAAGUGUAAUUGAUUUAAAACCGACUGUUCAUUACUCUGGGAGGUAAAAGAUUAAUUUUUUUCGGUCAUCAACUUUUUGCUCUUUUACAUUCUUGUAAUCGACACAUUCUAAAUUAAAUAAUACAUUUUAAAUUAA